UACGAAGGUGGCGAGCGUUGUUCGGAAUCACUGGGCUUAAAGAGCACGUAGGCGGGUGAUCAGGCGUCUUGUGAAAGCCCUCGGCUCAACCGAGGAAUUGCUUGGCGAACUGGUCAUCUUGAGGCAGGUAGGGGCAAGUGGAACUCUUGGUGGAGCGGUGGAAUGCGUAGAUAUCAAGAGGAACGCCAGAGGCGAAGGCGACUUGCUGGGCCUGUCCUGACGCUGAGGUGCGAAAGCCAGGGUAGCGAACGGGAUUAGAUACCCCGGUAGUCCUGGCCCUAAACGAUGUCCACUAGAUCGGAGAUUCUCUGACGGAUUUCUGGUCGAAAUGAAAACGGUAAGUGGACCGCCUGGGGAGUACGGUCGCAAGGCUAAA
RNAcentral lists this ribosomal RNA (376 nucleotides) under uncultured bacterium. RNAcentral describes it as "bacterial SSU rRNA". It matches the Rfam family "Bacterial small subunit ribosomal RNA", at positions 524 to 898 of the family's 1533-position model. The record is from RNAcentral.